CAUAAUACCCUAACAUCACAAAAGCCGACAACAUGCUCGAUCUGCUGCUUCUCCAUCGAACACAGUUACAGGUACACAAAGAGGCUUCAAAAUAGAGAAACAAACCAUUUUCUCAUUUUGAAGACUUGUCUUAUGUUUCUGGAAAAGAUCGUGCUCAUGGAAAUCAGGCAAGAGACUAUGAUGGUUUAGAAGAAAAUGCUGACAUGGAAGAUUACCAGAUGCCCUUUCAAGAACAACAAUCUGAUAAAAACAUGGACUAUCCGACAGAAGAUAGCCAAAUGCCAAGUCAAGAGUCUACAUUUCAAGGUAGUAGAAAGCGCAAGGGUCGAGGUGAUCCUCUUAUUGAUGUAAUAACUAAUGUUGCUGUUAUGCUUGGAGAUAGACUUUUAAAAUCAUCGGACAAGUUGGUACAAGUUGAGAUAGAUUUACAUCAAAAGACUUCCAUGGUUGGUUCUGAACUCGCCAAAAUGAAUUUUACUUCAAUGGAAAAGUUUAAAGCACUGAGAAAAAUAAUACGUGAACCUCAAUCCGUGUUAAGCUUCUGGAACUAUGAAGGAGAAGCUCGAGAAGAGUUUGUGAGGUACAUUUUGCAAGAAUGAUUGUGCUUUUAAUCCUUUUUUGAAAACUAUGAAGCUAAAUGACUUUUGGAACAUGUAUUUGAACAUGCUUUAGUAUUUUGGCAUCAUAUGUACGAUUGUUUAAUGAUGGUGGCAUGUAAUUAUUUUGAACAUUUUUGAUGGAUUUUGAAGCAAUUUUAAUAUCUAUUUAGU
Cynara cardunculus var. scolymus (artichoke) is the source of this 770-nucleotide long non-coding RNA. RefSeq lists it as uncharacterized. NCBI's taxonomy places the organism in Eukaryota, Viridiplantae, Streptophyta, Magnoliopsida, Asterales, Asteraceae. The transcript has 2 exons. The record is from RefSeq and is a predicted model, not a curated record.